GGGCCCGCACAAGCGGUGGAGCAUGUGGUUUAAUUCGAUGCAACGCGAAGAACCUUACCAGGGUUUGACAUCCUGCGAAUCUCUUGGAAACAGGAGAGUGCCUUCGGGAACGCAGUGACAGGUGGUGCAUGGCUGUCGUCAGCUCGUGUCGUGAGAUGUUCGGUUAAGUCCGGCAACGAGCGCAACCCACAUCCCUAGUUGCCAGCAGUUCGGCUGGGCACUCUAUGGAAACUGCCCGUGAUAAGCGGGAGGAAGGUGUGGAUGACGUCAAGUCCUCAUGGCCCUUACGGGUUGGGCUACACACGUACUACAAUGCUACGGGACAAAGGGCAGCAAGUUCGCGAGGACAAG
RNAcentral lists this ribosomal RNA (351 nucleotides) under uncultured bacterium. RNAcentral's name for it is "bacterial SSU rRNA". It matches the Rfam family "Bacterial small subunit ribosomal RNA", at positions 917 to 1267 of the family's 1533-position model. The record is from RNAcentral.